Molecule: ribosomal RNA, 315 nt
Filed under: Triticum aestivum (bread wheat)
Lineage: Eukaryota; Viridiplantae; Streptophyta; Magnoliopsida; Poales; Poaceae
Description: partial small subunit ribosomal RNA
Source: RNAcentral
AUGGAGUAUGACGAGCGAUACACGGAGUAUAUCCUGAAGACCGGGCUUCUCCCUUUCAUCUCACUCGUGUCUCGUUCGAUGCCGAAGAUGAACCCUUGUGCGAUCACGGCACUCAUUGACCGAUGGCGCCCUGAGACACAUACUUUUCACUUCUAUGCUGGGGAGAUGACAGUCACUUUGCAGGAUGUGUCUCUGAUCACUGGACUUCCCAUCAAAGGACAACCUAUUAGUUUUAGCACAGAUUCUGAAGGAUGGCGUGAGAUUAUGGUUGGACUCAUAGGGAGGGAGCCAGGGGUACAAGGGAAGUCCGGCUGA